RNAcentral lists this ribosomal RNA (465 nucleotides) under uncultured bacterium. Its description in RNAcentral is "partial 16S ribosomal RNA". It matches the Rfam family "Bacterial small subunit ribosomal RNA", at positions 338 to 795 of the family's 1533-position model. The record is from RNAcentral.
CCUACGGGGGGCAGCAGUGGGGAAUAUUGCGCAAUGGGCGAAAGCCUGACGCAGCGACGCCGCGUGAGGGAUGAAGGUCUUCGGAUCGUAAACCUCUGUCAGCAGGGAAGAACGGUCACUGUGCUAAUCAGCAGUGAAUUGACGGUACCUGCAAAGGAAGCACCGGCUAACUCCGUGCCAGCAGCCGCGGUAAUACGGAGGGUGCGAGCGUUAAUCGGAAUUACUGGGCGUAAAGCGCUCGUAGGCGGUAUGUCAAGUCAAGGGUGAAAUCCCCGGGCUCAACGUGGGAACUGCCUUUGAAACUGGCAGGCUGGAGUGUGUGAGAGGAUGGUGGAAUUCCAGGUGUAGGAGUGAAAUCCGUAGAUAUCUGGAGGAACAUCAGUGGCGAAGGCGACUAUCUGGAACAUAACUGACGCUGAGGAGCGAAAGCGUGGGUAGCAAACAGGAUUAGAUACCCUAGUAGUC